Molecule: ribosomal RNA, 472 nt
Filed under: uncultured bacterium
Lineage: Bacteria
Description: bacterial SSU rRNA
Rfam family: Bacterial small subunit ribosomal RNA
Source: RNAcentral
AGUGAACGCUGGCGGCGUGCUUAACACAUGCAAGUCGAACGAGAACGGAUUAUAGCUUGCUAUAAUUGUCAGCUAAGUGGCGCACGGGUGAGUAAUAUAUAGGUAACGUGCCCUAGAGAGGGGGAUAACAGUUGGAAACGAUUGCUAACACCCCAUAUGCCUUUAUCCCAUAAGGGAGCAAGGGAAAUAUUUAUAGCUCUAGGAUCAGCCUGUACAGUAUCAGUUAGUUGGUGAGGUAAUGGCUCACCAAGACAAUGACGCUUAACUGGUUUGAGAGGAUGAUCAGUCACACUGGAACUGAGACACGGUCCAGACUCCUACGGGAGGCAGCAGUGGGGAAUAUUGCACAAUGGACGAAAGUCUGAUGCAGCAACGCCGCGUGGAGGAUGACACAUUUCGGUGCGUAAACUCCUUUUAUAUAGGAAGAUAAUGACGGUACUAUAUGAAUAAGCACCGGCUAACUCCGUGCCAG